UGCAAGUCGAGCGGCAGCGCGGGGCAACCUGGCGGCGAGCGGCGAACGGGUGAGGAAUACAUCGGAACGUACCCCGGAGUGGGGGAUAACGCCGCGAAAGCGGCGCUAAUACCGCAUAUGCUCUGAGGAGGAAAGUGGGGGACCGCAAGGCCUCACGCUCUGGGAGCGGCCGAUGUCCGAUUAGCUAGUUGGUGGGGUAAUGGCUUACCAAGGCGACGAUCGGUAGCUGGUCUGAGAGGAUGAUCAGCCACACUGGGACUGAGACACGGCCCAGACUCCUACGGGAGGCAGCAGUGGGGAAUUUUGGACAAUGGGGGCAACCCUGAUCCAGCCAUGCCGCGUGCGGGAAGAAGGCCUUCGGGUUGUAAACCGCUUUUAGCCGGGAAGAAAAGGCACGUUUUAAUACAGCGUGUUCUUGACGGUACCGGCGGAAUAAGCACCGGCUAACUACGUGCCAGCAGCCGCGGUAAUACGUAGGGUGCGAGCGUUAAUCGGAAUUACUGGGCGUAAAGCGUGCGCAGGCGGUUCGUUAAGUCUGAUGUGAAAGCCCCGGGCUC
This 557-nucleotide ribosomal RNA is filed under the name uncultured beta proteobacterium. RNAcentral's name for it is "bacterial SSU rRNA". It matches the Rfam family "Bacterial small subunit ribosomal RNA", at positions 56 to 610 of the family's 1533-position model. The record is from RNAcentral. Lineage: Bacteria; Pseudomonadati; Pseudomonadota; Betaproteobacteria.